UCGGGCGGGCAGGAAACUAGCUCGCUAUUCAGGAAGAUGGCCAUCUAUGAACCAGGAUGUGGGCUCUUAACCCCCCAUCUGUUGGCAACUUGAUCUUCGACUUCCCAGACUCCAGAAUGGCAAGAAAUAAAUGUUUGUUGUUUAAGUCAA
This is a long non-coding RNA of Suricata suricatta (meerkat), 150 nucleotides long. RefSeq lists it as uncharacterized. The transcript has 2 exons. NCBI's taxonomy places the organism in Eukaryota, Metazoa, Chordata, Mammalia, Carnivora, Herpestidae. The record is from RefSeq and is a predicted model, not a curated record.